GAAAAUGGAGCCAUUGACGAAGACCAGGAAAAGAAAAUUAAAGGAAAGUAUAUUUAAUUUUAGUCUAAUUAUAAUUUUAGUUCUAUUACAGUAGCAGGCCUUACCAAGUUCCAGUCAGUCACAGAACAUGAAGAUUGUUUCAUUGAAGAUAGGAAAUGAGUAGCAUAUACUAUGAAGAAGAUGUUAACAGCAAAGACCCGAAAAUGGAGCCAUUGACGAAGACCAGGACAAGAUGCUUAAAGUAGCAGGCCUUACCAAGUUUCAGUCGCAGAAGAUGAAGAUUAUUUCAUUGAAAAUUGGAGAUAAAUAACAUCUCCAAGGAAGAUUAAUUAUUACAUUAAUCUUCACCCAAGUCUGAGGCCAUGACAUGAAAGAAAUAACGUUAUAUUAGUGCCAAUGUUUUCAUGAAUGGGGAGUAAGACUUGGUGGUAUAAUAUUUCUAAUAUACAAAUACUAUGAAGAAGAUGUUUACAGCAAAGACCCUGAAAAUAGAGCCAUUGGCGAAGACCAGGACAAGAUGCUUAAAGUAGCAGGCCUUACCAAGUUUCAGUCGCAGAAGAUGAAGAUUAUUUCAUUGAAAAUUGGAGAUAAAUAACAUCUCCAAGGAAGAUUAAUUAUUACAUUAAUCUUCACCCAAGUCUGAGGCCAUGACAUGAAAGAAAUAACGUUAUAUUAGUGCCAAUGUUUUCAUGAAUGGGGAGUAAGACUUGGUGGUAUAAUAUUUCUAAUAUACAAAUACUAUGAAGAAGAUGUUUACAGCAAAGACCCUGAAAAUAGAGCCAUUGGUGAAGACCAGGACAAGAUGCUUAAAGUAGCAGGCCUUACCAAGUUUCAGUCGCAGAAGAUGAAGAUUAUUUCAUUGAAAAUUGGAGAUAAAUAACAUCUCCAAGGAAGAUUAAUUAUUACAUUAAUCUUCACCCAAGUCUGAGGCCAUGACAUGAAAGAAAUAACGUUAUAUUAGUGCCAAUGUUUUCAUGAAUGGGGAGUAAGACUUGGUGGUAUAAUAUUUCUAAUAUACAAGUAGGCUAGCAAUAAUUACUGCUUUUCAGUAUGGGUUGAGGUUUAGAAUGAUCAUUGGAGCUGACUUUUAAGGUUAGCAUUACAGCUUGUCCUUACAGAUUGAUGUUGGAAAUGGCCAUUGGAGUUGAAUUUUAAAGAUAACUAUUACUGUGGCUGAAGGAUAUAAUUGUUUGAUUAAUUCUCCGUAUCCCUCAGAGUUGUUGCAAAGGUUAUUAACAUGUAUGCAGCUUGGCACUCUACACAAGGCAUUGGAUUUAACGUCCCCAUUCUGACCGGACAUGGCUGCGAAUUCAUACAUCCUGCACUUCCAAACAGAAGCCCCACUGCCAGUCUGAAGAAGACCAAGCGUGACCAUAUUUCUAUUCCCCAGUCAUCCUUUGGGGUCUUUCUAACUUGAAGGAAAGGUUUCCAAUAGGAAUGGUUCAUAUAACUCUUGUUAAAACCAGUUAAAGAAUGUAUUUGAUAAAUUCUAAAUCAGAACUAAAACUACAGAAGAGUACAAAAUCCGCAAGUGAUAAUUUGCAUUUCACAAUUUGUGAAGCUAAUUGGAAGCACGUACCGUCUGUCGUUGCAAAGCCAUUUGGGAG
Mytilus californianus (California mussel) is the source of this 1607-nucleotide long non-coding RNA. RefSeq lists it as uncharacterized. NCBI's taxonomy places the organism in Eukaryota, Metazoa, Mollusca, Bivalvia, Mytilida, Mytilidae. The record is from RefSeq and is a predicted model, not a curated record. The transcript has 13 exons.